Molecule: ribosomal RNA, 492 nt
Filed under: uncultured bacterium
Lineage: Bacteria
Description: partial 16S ribosomal RNA
Rfam family: Bacterial small subunit ribosomal RNA
Source: RNAcentral
AGUGAACGCUGGCGGUAGGCCUAACACAUGCAAGUCGAACGGCAGCACAGUAAGAGCUUGCUCUUACGGGUGGCGAGUGGCGGACGGGUGAGGAAUACAUCGGAAUCUACUUUUUCGUGGGGGAUAACGUAGGGAAACUUACGCUCAUACCGCAUACGACCUACGGGGGAAAGCAGGGGAUCUUCGGACCUUGCGCGAUUGAAUGAGCCGAUGUCGGAUUAGCUAGUGGGCGGGGUAAAGGCCCACCAAGGCGACGAUCCGUAGCUGGUCUGAGAGGAUGGUCAGCCACACUGGAACUGAGACACGGUCCAGACUCCUAAGGGAGGCAGCAGUGGGGAAUAUUGGACAAUGGGCGCAAGCCUGAUCCAGCCAUACCGCGUGGGUGAAGAAGGCCUUCGGGUUGUAAAGCCCUUUUGUUGGGAAAGAAAAGCAGCAGGUUAAUACCACGCUGUUCUGACGGUACCCAAAGAAUAAGCACCGGCUAACUUCGUG